GAUGAACGCUGGCGGCGUGCCUAAUACAUGCAAGUCGAGCGAACAGACGAGGAGCUUGCUCCUCUGACGUUAGCGGCGGACGGGUGAGUAACACGUGGAUAACCUACCUAUAAGACUGGGAUAACUUCGGGAAACCGGAGCUAAUAUCGGAUAAUAUAUUGAACCGCAUGGUUCAAUAGUGAAAGACGGUUUUGCUGUUACUUAUAGAUGGAUCCGCGCCGCAUUAGCUAGUUGGUAAGGUAACGGCUUACCAAGGCAACGAUGCGUAGCCGACCUGAGAGGGUGAUCGGCCACACUAGAACUGAGACACGGUCCAGACUCCUACGGGAGGCAGCAGUAGGGAAUCUUCCGCAAUGGGCGAAAGCCUGACGGAGCAACGCCGCGUGAGUGAUGAAGGUCUUCGGAUCGGAAAACUCUGUUAUUAGGGAAGAACAAAUGUGUAAGUAACUAGGCACGUCUUGACGGUACCUAAUCAGAAAGCCAGGGCUAACUACGUG
This 497-nucleotide ribosomal RNA is filed under the name uncultured bacterium. Its description in RNAcentral is "partial 16S ribosomal RNA". It matches the Rfam family "Bacterial small subunit ribosomal RNA", at positions 28 to 507 of the family's 1533-position model. The record is from RNAcentral.